This 322-nucleotide long non-coding RNA is filed under the name Medicago truncatula (barrel medic). RNAcentral's name for it is "long non-coding RNA (MTRU_LNC007606)". The record is from RNAcentral. Lineage: Eukaryota; Viridiplantae; Streptophyta; Magnoliopsida; Fabales; Fabaceae.
UAUCUCACAUCAAUAUUCAUCAAUCAUAUGAACAAUUAUCAAUUCACAAAUAUUCAUUCACAAUAACCAAUCACAUUUAUCAUGAAUAAUCAUUAAUCACAUUUCAUGAACAAUCACCAAUUACAUGUAUCAUGAAUAAUAUCAAUUCACAAAUAUUCAUUCACAAUCACCAAUCACAAAUAUCAAAUAAGACUCAUGUCAUGAUAUGCACUUAUUGACACAUAAAUGCAUGUGGUACCAAAUCUCCAAAAGAUCGUCACCUCCGAUGGAACAACUCAACAUCGUAUGUAAGGGUUCACCCCCGCCUUACAUAAUCUCCGAA